Long non-coding RNA from Sceloporus undulatus (fence lizard), 229 nucleotides. RefSeq lists it as uncharacterized. The transcript is spliced from 2 exons. The record is from RefSeq and is a predicted model, not a curated record. NCBI's taxonomy places the organism in Eukaryota, Metazoa, Chordata, Lepidosauria, Squamata, Phrynosomatidae.
UUCUUUCUCCUGUUUUUCAAAUGGAAGGAAACAAUAAGUUGGUGAUGGUGGCAAAAGAGAAGGGCAUAACUGCCGUGACUGAAAUAAAUGGAAACACACUCACUAAUAUAACGAGUAUGGGUGACCUCCACUACAAGAGGACCAGUAAGAGAAUCUAGAUCACCUAGGCAUUUCUACACUUUUACCAUGUAAAGGUGAUACAAUAAAGAUCAAUGUAUCAAAAUAAAAA